This 225-nucleotide long non-coding RNA is filed under the name Gossypium raimondii (Peruvian cotton). RNAcentral's name for it is "long non-coding RNA (GRAI_LNC002213)". Lineage: Eukaryota; Viridiplantae; Streptophyta; Magnoliopsida; Malvales; Malvaceae. The record is from RNAcentral.
GUUGGUGUCAGAGAGCAGGUGGCGUCGGUGGCUGCGAGCAGAGCUAGGAGCGGCGAUGGCAGAAGACCAAGGCUUAGGGUUUCCUGUUUCUUUUUUUUUUGUGUUGGGCCAUUUGGGCUGUUUAGGUUUUGUUUAGGAUUGGGUUUGGGUUGAGUUUAAUUUCGGGCCUGUAAUUGGGUUUGGGUAGGUUUAAUUGGUUUGGGUUUGUUUAAGUGUACUGGGCUG